UACGGAGGGUGCAAGCGUUAUCCGGAUUCACUGGGUUUAAAGGGAGCGUAGGUGGGUUGGUAAGUCAGUGGUGAAAUCCCCGAGCCUAACUUGGGAACUGCCAUUGAUACUAUCAGUCUUGAAUACUGUGGAGGUUAGCGGAAUAUGUCAUGUAGCGGUGAAAUGCUUAGAUAUGACAUAGAACACCAAUUGCGAAGGCAGCUGGCUACACAAAUAUUGACACUGAGGCUCGAAAGCGUGGGGAUCAAACAGG
RNAcentral lists this ribosomal RNA (253 nucleotides) under uncultured bacterium. Its description in RNAcentral is "partial 16S ribosomal RNA". It matches the Rfam family "Bacterial small subunit ribosomal RNA", at positions 524 to 776 of the family's 1533-position model. The record is from RNAcentral.